UAGCUAGUUGGUAGGGUAAAGGCCUACCAAGGCGACGAUCGGUAGCUGGUCUGAGAGGAUGGCCAGCCACACUGGAACUGAGACACGGUCCAGACUCCUACGGGAGGCAGCAGUGGGGAAUAUUGGACAAUGGGGGCAACCCUGAUCCAGCAAUGCCGCGUGUGUGAAGAAGGCCUGAGGGUUGUAAAGCACUUUCAGUGGGGAGGAGGGUUGAUUGGUUAAGAGCUGGUUAAUUGGACGUUACCCACAGAAGAAGCACCGGCUAACUCCGUGCCAGCAGCCGCGGUAAUACGGAGGGUGCGAGCGUUAAUCGGAGUUACUGGGCGUAAAGGGUGCGUAGGUGGUUUAUUAAGUUAUGUGUAAAAUCCCUGGGCUCAACCUGGGCAGGUCAUAUAAUACUGGUAGACUCGAGUAUGGGAGAGGGUAGUGGAAUUUCCGGUGUAGCGGUGAAAUGCGUAGAGAUCGGAAGGAACACCAGUGGCGAAGGCGGCUACCUGGCCUAAUACUGACACUGAGGCACGAAAGCGUGGGGAGCAAACAGGAUUAGAUACCCUGGUAGUCCACGCUGUAAACGAUGUCAACUAGCUGUUGGUUAUAUGAAUAUAAUUAGUGGCGC
Molecule: ribosomal RNA, 616 nt
Filed under: uncultured Legionella sp.
Lineage: Bacteria; Pseudomonadati; Pseudomonadota; Gammaproteobacteria; Legionellales; Legionellaceae
Description: bacterial SSU rRNA
Rfam family: Bacterial small subunit ribosomal RNA
Source: RNAcentral